Long non-coding RNA from Oreochromis niloticus (Nile tilapia), 2429 nucleotides. Lineage: Eukaryota; Metazoa; Chordata; Actinopteri; Cichliformes; Cichlidae. The record is from Ensembl.
AUGAUCGAGGCGCUGAACCGGGUCAUUUAUUCAGGAGACACAAAGAAGAAGUUCAUGAUCAUACUCACCGUCUGCAGAGCAGCUUCAGGCCUCCUGCUGCAGAGACACAGAGGACAGAGCAGACGUCUGCCUGCUGCACCCGCCAUCUACCAACCACAGAGCUGCCGUGACACGCACACUGCGACCGAGCUUCAGCUGUGCAAGCUUCUGUCAGAACCAGAAUCAUUACUGAUCAUUACAGUUACUUUGAUGGGAAGUUGGAACGUGUCAUACAUGGAGUCACGAGUGUUGAAACUGAACAGGAUGGAUGUUUAUCUCUGUUGGAAGACGAUCCUGGCAUCAGACGAAGGUGAAAACACAUCAGGCUCAGUGCAGAACUAAAACUUUGUUUUGGCUUCAGAGUUUCACACUCGCUGGAUGUGAAACUUGUUUGAUUAACACAACAACAGAACUGAAAUGUUUUCCAUCUCUGAUCAUCUGAAGUUACGUCAGCUGAUGGAUCAGAGGGCGUCACCCACAGCAUUCAGUGUCGUCUUUAAAUCCAUCACAGCUGAUCAGUAACAUCAGAAACAGCAGUGGGUCAAACAUGUAACACAGCUGUGGCGAGCGAGCUGCUGUUGCGGCCGUGAAGAACUCACCGACGAUGAGCAGCAACACCGAACCCAGCAGCACGUAGAACAUAACGCCCGUCAGAGCUCCGCCCUCCUGCUUCUGCAGACACACAAACACGCAUCAUAGAUGUGACGGUUUAACACGUCACACGUCUGUGCAGAUUAGCAACACGUGAGCAGCAGACUGCACUGAACCAAAAACAACCCGUUUAUUAGAGCUGAUCCAAAACAACAAAAAGGCAAAGAAACAAAAUCCAGAGCAGGAACUGAGGGCAGGACUAUUUAUACACACACCAGGUAAUCAGGACGCUCACGCUAAUAACAUAAUCACGACUCAGAUGCCAGACUACUACAUCCAUAAUGAAAUCUCUGGAACCUUCGGUGGCUCGUACCCUGGGGGGGGCGGGGCAGUAGUAGCAGUAACAUCGAUAACAUGACAAAAUUAUAACCAGAACCAAAGACUGAAAGCACUGAACGCCCAAACUCAACAAAUCAAAAGCAUCAAAUAAUAAACGAGCACCAAACUCUUAGCCCGCCGUCCUCUGCCUCCGUUUUCAGCUGAUAUCCGGCCCCUGAUGACAGGAUGUGAAUGGAUUCAGUUUGAUUUAAGGACCUUUCAUUAGUACAUGUGUAGUUAUAGACACCCUGAAGCCACAGCUGUUUGUGCACAUCACUCUGACUCUGUCCUUUGGGGACGCUCACAUGGAUCCUGCUGCUGGUACUCAGAGGAGAGACUUCUACAAACAGCUUCACUCUCUCCAACAUUAGACACACCUGACAUCAAUAUAACAGGUUACUCAUUCUGUUUCCCACAGGAUCUCUCACCUUGCUGCCGCUCGUCACACUGUGUGUCACGGUUCUGGGUCCGUUGGACCCAGUAUUUUGAGUUUAUUAUAUUUUGGUUUACUUUUGCAUUAUGGAUUGUUUCUUAUGUUUCUCUGGCACUUUGUGUUUCAGUUAUCUUGGUGUUUUGGAUUUUCUCAUUUUUGUGGUGAUGGUGGUGGUGAUGAUGAUUAUUGUUAUUGAGUUCCAUGUUUCUGUUUAUUGGUAUUUAGGAUUUGUGUUCUCAUGUUUUGUGUGGGUUUAGUUCCAGGUGUCAUUUUCUGUCUGUCUCUCAGUGUCAGGUCUGCGUCUUGGUGUUGUGUUCUCAUUUCCUGUUUUAUUGUGAAGGUCCGCGUCUCAUGUGAGUGUGUUCAGUUUUACCCCUGUCUCGUCUUGUUGAUUAUUCCCAGCUGUGUUCCCCACCUGUGUGUAAUCUCCUUGUGUUUCUCUGUGUGUAUUUAAGUCGCGUCUUCUGUGUUUGUAGUUGCUGGUCCGUCUGUGUAUCCACCCUGCGUCAUCUGUGUGUCUCCCUGCUGUCUACCGUCAUCCACCUCUGCUCGCCGUCUUUCAUGUUCAUGCUCAGGUUCCUCCUCCGUAGUAUAGUUGUUUCCAGUAUAGUUUAGUUUGUCUCCGUUUGCCAUGUUUUCCCUGUGUCGUGUUUUUCAAUAAACCACCUUCUCACCUUUACAAAGUGCCUGCAUUUGGAUCCUACUUCGUUAUCUCUACACGGCUCAUCUCACUCGCCGUGACAGUACGGACCAGCCAGCCAUGGAUCCAGCGGCAUUCACCUCACCCACGGAGCUUCGAGGGCUCAUAACGGACUCAGCUACAAAAUUAAUCGAUCUGUGGCUAAAGCAUGAGGGAGAAGCAUUUCUCUAUGCUGUGGAGGACAAGCUACAACAGCUUAUUUCCGGUUACCCCUGGUUAUUGGACUCACUGCACCCGCUCGUACAGGAUUUCUUCUUCACGAGCUUCACCUUCACCCUCCCGCCGCUA